AGUGUGUGUGUGAAUGUUUAGUAGGAAACAUGCAGCAAUAAACUAACAUAGCAGCGUACGUGUGAGUGAGUGAGUGAGUGUGUGAGUGAGUGAGUGAGUGUGUGUGUGUGUGUUUGUGUGUGUGUGUGUAUGUGUGGAAUUUUUUUUCUCUUUUUAACCUUUUAGCACAAUAUGUAGUAAACAAACAAACAAACAAGCACCAGGUUGAGUUUUUGGAUGUUGUGCGACCAUUCGGUCAGCUUGGAAAGAUGUUUGCUUUUGAGAGGUGAGAGAAGCCUGGAUCUUUUCGUAGGGGGCAGCAGGAACCACGCACGCCGGGGCUGAUGAGCAGGCCGUGCACGCAUGGCAACGCCGCACCGCCUUGUCUUGUCGGAGCGGGAUCUCCAACCACGCGUGCAAAUUAACAUCAAUUACCCGACCGGUUUGACUUUCUGAUGGCUCACAGAAGCAGCGUCUGGGAUGUGCAGAUUAAAGCGCCGAGACAGGAGCGAGUUAUCAGACGUUCACACGUGGCCGAGCGCGCCCUUAUUAAGUUUCCGAUAUUCUGUGGAGGCCUUUGUACUCCGGAGGCUCUGC
Long non-coding RNA from Ictalurus punctatus (channel catfish), 576 nucleotides. The record is from Ensembl. NCBI's taxonomy places the organism in Eukaryota, Metazoa, Chordata, Actinopteri, Siluriformes, Ictaluridae.